This 253-nucleotide ribosomal RNA is filed under the name uncultured bacterium. Its description in RNAcentral is "partial 16S ribosomal RNA". It matches the Rfam family "Bacterial small subunit ribosomal RNA", at positions 524 to 776 of the family's 1533-position model. The record is from RNAcentral.
UACGUAGGGCGCAAGCGUUAUCCGGAAUUAUUGGGCGUAAAGAGCUCGUAGGCGGUUUGUCGCGUCUGCCGUGAAAGUCCGGGGCUCAACUCCGGAUCUGCGGUGGGUACGGGCAGACUAGAGUGAUGUAGGGGAGACUGGAAUUCCAGGUGUAGCGGUGAAAUGCGUAGAUAUCGAGAGGAACACCGGCGGCGAAGGCGAGUCCCUGGUCCGCAUCUGACGCUGAGGCGCGAAAGCGUGGGUAGCAAACGGG